Mycena haematopus is the source of this 91-nucleotide non-coding RNA. The record is from the annotation of a GenBank genome assembly. Lineage: Eukaryota; Fungi; Basidiomycota; Agaricomycetes; Agaricales; Mycenaceae.
GCAUUAAUGGGGUAGUGGUAACCUGGGUCGUUGCCAUGGUCUGCUGAAUAUCGGACUCGACCCGCCGGGGGGUCGAUUCCCCCUUAAUGCA